This 200-nucleotide ribosomal RNA is filed under the name uncultured bacterium. Its description in RNAcentral is "partial 16S ribosomal RNA". It matches the Rfam family "Bacterial small subunit ribosomal RNA", at positions 28 to 228 of the family's 1533-position model. The record is from RNAcentral.
GACGAACGCUGGCGGCGUGGAUUAGGCAUGCAAGUCGCGCGACAGGCGGAGCAAUCCGUCAUGGAGCGGCGAACGGGUGAGUAACACGUGAGAAACCUACCGCAUCAUUCCGGAUAAUUGACCGAAAGGUCUUGUAAUACGGGGGAGGUUCGUGAAUAGGCAUCUAUUUACGAACGAACGGGCAACCGGUGCUGUGAUGG